RNAcentral lists this long non-coding RNA (3180 nucleotides) under Olea europaea (common olive). Its description in RNAcentral is "long non-coding RNA (OEUR_LNC000213)". The record is from RNAcentral. Lineage: Eukaryota; Viridiplantae; Streptophyta; Magnoliopsida; Lamiales; Oleaceae.
UUGAAUAAAGAAUCUAGAACCAGAAAAAUGGGUAAACAGUUGUUGUGCUCUAUUUUCAAUUGCUACCUUGGAUCUUUUCUGUGAAACACAAUUCAAUAGAACUAAAAAUAGUGAACAAACUAAAUAAGGUAACAAAUAAACACAAAUACAAGUAAAAAUACAUAUAAAUGUACUUGAAACCGCUCACUUUCCUAAUAGUCACCCAAAUAAUCCCAUUCAGCUUGGUCACAAAUUUCUUUAGGCUUAUUUGCUUCCCUAUGAGCCAUUGCUUGGUCUAGAUACUCCUUGUAGUAUGUGUGCAACUUAUAUUGAAACUCGUUAAAGGAAGUGGCUAUUGAUUUCUCCGUGAACUCUUUAAGAGUUACAUAUUUAUCAUAAUGUAUGUCAAAAACAGCCUAUAUAAAACAAUAUAUAGUGAGUGAAAAGAGAUAUAAUAAUAAGAGCUUGAAAUAAUACAUAACAAGAGAGUUUACUAAGCAUUGCGGAAAGUUCAAGUAUGUUCCAUGCAAGUUUUUAUCUCCAGUCAACAUCUCUCCCUUUCUUUUAGAACUUAUUACAUUUGAACCAUUAGAUUGACCAAGAUUUGAAAGUGUUAUUUCCAUAAUUGUUUUCACCCUUUUGCUUCGUAUUUCAUGAAAAUAUUUCAUAACCUCAAUCACAAGAUCAAAUAGCAUAAAUUAAUCAAAAAAAUUCAAGUCUAACAAAUGUCUAGGAUAUUUUUUUUGUCCAAUGUAGUUCUUUAUGCUUGUAUAACAACAUGAGAAGCAUAUGUACAAUAAAUAGAAAAAAAAUUAGAAAUAGAGAUAUUAUCCUCAUUUUAUAAAUUAAAUAAAACGAAUUUAAAUGAAUGCAAAUUGGUUUGCUUUCAUAUAGUUCUAUAAGUUCUGUUUAUAAGCAACCUAAAUGUAUGAAUGUAGUUUUAAGAAGUUCAACAUUAACGUCAUCUCCACUUUGUCAUAAAUAGGGGACUUUUCAGAUUCAGUCACAUCUUUCCAAAAGGUCUUUUGGAGAAGUGCAAAUAUUCGAACACCAGAUCUUAUUUCAGAUACAAAUCGACUAGCAUUAGGACCAAUAAGUCACCCAUCAAUGUCUUCAUAAAUGAUUUCCAGCUUUCUAUGAGUGGCCUUAACUAUCUGGGACGUGCCUAUUCCACGAGUAUGAUCGCAAUGCCUACGCUUGAGUGGUGGUGGUGCAUGUAAUAAAUGAAUAUGAUGUUAAUUUUAAAAAAAUUAUUUAGAACUGAAUAAAUAGAUUUGCCUUUCUCCAUGGGUGUAGUAGCUAGUGUAGGCUGGAUGGCAGUUGCAGGCUGCAUUAUAGGUUCAAGUUGAGUGCAAAGUACAGUGUUCAACUAUGUUCUAAGACUAGUCACACUGAUUGGGUGCGGUGGCUUCCUCUUUGGUGGCAUUGGAAUAACCUACUAGUUAUUCAAACUAACAUUAAAGAUAAACACGUGACUAACAAAAAGACAAACACGGGAAAUUUUGAUCACUCUAGCUAAGCAUUUAAACAUAUUUCCCUUCGUUCGAUAACUGGAGACAAACCUACUUGCUUAAUGUGUUUAUGCUUCUGCUUGAUGAUGGCAUUCAAAUAAUUAUGAUCACAUAAUAACUAAUAAACUUCAACAAGACACAAACAAAUACUAAGGAAAUACAUGAUAUGGAGUAAAUACUUUUGCAAACUAUAUAUGAACCACCAGAAAUGAUUUGUAGAAAUUCAGAUGUUGAAGGACAACAUCAUAUGCAUUUGGCACUUUUCUUCCUCAUAAUGGUAAAUGAGAAUCUCAGUUUCUACACUAGGCCAUUAUCAAAGAAAUUAUUGUUCUUUCAAAUUUUCUUAGAUAUAUUACUAAUAGAAGAAUCCAAAUAGUUCAAUUUUAAGAUGACAACCAACAAAUUUUAUUUACAUCUUAAGACAUAACCCACAUUUACCUAUAUGUUGGAUGGUUACUCAAGAUGAUUAAAUUAUAUUGUAAUCUGGACAUUUUGGCAUUAACACUGGAGGGUGAUUAAAACAAUAAUUCAAGAUUAUUAAAUUAGUAACAUAAUGAUUAAACUGUGCCUGAUUUUGUAGUAAUUAGCUGGUCUGUUGUCUUCAUCCUCUUAGAAGAUAGAGAUGAUGGCCACGCUGUCUAAACCAUACUAAAUACAACUUGUAGCACGGGGAGGAUGAGUUAUCAAAAAUUAUGAUGGAAAAGUUCAGGAGGCCUUUUAUGACUUACAAGAGUUGGCGAAGUGCUCAAUCUUGGAGGCAAAAUUAACAGCACACAACACUGGAUUACAACUAUAAGAUGGUGACAAAAAUAUAGAGGUCUUUGUUUAUAUGCAAUUUUUUUCCAAUGGAUUGCAGGGGAGGAUACGGAGUUGUGGCCAUGAGUUGUCUAAACCUAAAUCCACAUAUUCUUUGCUACAACAGACUACUAAAAAACACCAUCCUCUGUAGUUAUUUUGCUACUCUAGCAUAUUAUAAAUAAAUAAAAAAACUCUAACCACAAGCAAAUGGGUUCAAAUUGUACACAAAAGACAAUAGAAAUUAAUGAUAUUUUCCAAACACAUACUUAUUAAACAAAGAUAACCACAAUUGGUAAUAUGAGGGAUAGAAUCGACAGUGUAAUUUGUUGAAAGAAAAAAUUGGGGAUGAAUAAACAAUUAUAGGUAAAUCAAUUGUACAAGUCACAGAAAAGUUCACCCCAGUAAAAGAAACUUUUCAUAGUAAUGGAGUUGCCUCAUAUAAUGAUUUCAGAUUCCAAUUCUUUACUAAAUUCAAAACACGUGCGCGCACGCACACACAAAUAAUUUUCAAGAACUUCUGCUAAAAAAAUGUAAAAAGUUGAAGAUUGUGCAUUUAUGCAAAUAAUUGAUCAGUACACAUAAAAUGGAAACAAAACAGAGCAUAAUGAACGAAUUACUAGAAAAACUCAAAAGAAAUUAUUUAGGGAAUAGAGUUAAGGAUAACCUAUGACCCGAAACCUGCGAGUGUUGGAAUAUCCUGAGCUCUUGUGCACAUUCAGAGCAAACUAGUGGGCAUGGAAGAUGAUGUGUACAAUUUCGGUAUGACUCGACCAUCCACGACCUCAUGCUCGAGGUCAUGAUAACCUCGAGCACUCUCCUAGGGCUAGAACAUCCCUAAGCUUAUAUUGUCGGGCUCGAAGUCAAUAGCCCGAUCUUGUUUUCCCAUAUUUAC